CUGUACUGUGGCAGGACCUUAAAGGGACAGCUGAUGCUUGAAAAUCCUCUAGUGUGGUUGGAUUUACACAUUUCUGUGCAGAAGAGUGGACCAGAAUCCCUCCACUGUUCUGUGAGAGACUGAUCUUCAGCCACUGGAAUCAGCCUAUUGAAAUUUACAUUUUUUCCACACAGGUGAGCUGUCAGCAGCACAAAAACAGUCCAGUCUACUCUGAGAGUGAACUACAGGAUGUCUCUGAUCUUCCAGCUUUCAGGCAUGAUGUUGACGCAGAAGGAUGAUGGAAUGAAGCAGCAUUAAAAUCUACAUUUCACAGAGCCACAGAAAGUAAUUUGAUUUGCCUACACUCACAUGCUUGAAGUUACGGAAGGGCACGAACUGGACGAUGUCUCGGAGGACGGGUUCUCCUUUGGGCGAGCGCAGAAUGCCGUCAUCGCCGUCCAGCAUCUGC
Molecule: long non-coding RNA, 448 nt
Organism: Hemibagrus wyckioides
Lineage: Eukaryota; Metazoa; Chordata; Actinopteri; Siluriformes; Bagridae
Exons: 3
Source: RefSeq, a predicted model, not a curated record